This 497-nucleotide ribosomal RNA is filed under the name uncultured bacterium. RNAcentral describes it as "partial 16S ribosomal RNA". It matches the Rfam family "Bacterial small subunit ribosomal RNA", at positions 28 to 507 of the family's 1533-position model. The record is from RNAcentral.
GAUGAACGCUGGCGGCGUGCCCAAUACAUGCAAGUCGAGCGAACGGACGAGAAGCUUGCUUCUCUGAUGUUAGCGGCGGACGGGUGAGUAACACGUGGAUAACCUACCUAUAAGACUGGGAUAACUUCGGGAAACCGGAGCUAAUACCGGAUAAUAUUUUGAACCGCAUGGUUCAAAAGUGAAAGGCGGUCUUGCUGUCACUUAUAGAUGGAUCCGCGCUGCAUUAGCUAGUUGGUAAGGUAACGGCUUACCAAGGCAACGAUGCAUAGCCGACCUGAGAGGGUGAUCGGCCACACUGGAACUGAGACACGGUCCAGACUCCUACGGGAGGCAGCAGUAGGGAAUCUUCCGCAAUGGGCGAAAGCCUGACGGAGCAACGCCGCGUGAGUGAUGAAGGUCUUCGGAUCGUAAAACUCUGUUAUUAGGGAAGAACAUAUGUGUAAGUAACUGUGCACAUCUUGACGGUACCUAAUCAGAAAGCCACGGCUAACUACGUG